CACGUAGGGUGCGAGCGUUGUCCGGAAUUAUUGGGCGUAAAGAGCUCGUAGGCGGUGUGUCGCGUCGGCCGUGAAAACCUGGGGCUUAACUCUGGGCUUGCGGUCGAUACGGGCAUCACUGGAGUUCGGCAGGGGAGACUGGAAUUCCUGGUGUAGCGGUGAAGUGCGCAGAUAUCAGGAGGAACACCGGUGGCGAAGGCGGGUCUCUGGGCCGAUACUGACGCUGAGGAGCGAAAGCGUGGGGAGCGAACAGG
Molecule: ribosomal RNA, 254 nt
Filed under: uncultured bacterium
Lineage: Bacteria
Description: partial 16S ribosomal RNA
Rfam family: Bacterial small subunit ribosomal RNA
Source: RNAcentral